CAGACAGAGGCAGCACAACACAGACAACCACCACCAGUGUUAAAGAGUUGUAUUUUUUUUUUUUCUUUUUAGUAGUAAGUAUAUAGUAUAGUAAUAUUAGUAGUAUAUUAGUAGUAUAUAGUAUUUACGGUAUCAGGUAGAGACGGAGGGUGUGCGGAGAGAGAAGUUGGCGAGAGAAGCAAGUUUUUGGAGGAGGUGGGGUGGGGGGGAUUGUUGUUUCCCUUUCUCGCAAAACGGUGCUCGAUGUAGAUACAUAUAUAUAUAUAUAUAUAUACAUAUCGUAACCGAGUCAUAUUUUGCUCCAGGGUAUUUUUUGGGGGUGGAGGUGGGGUGGAGCUUGUACGCGUGAUAUGCAGCAGUAAUGAGUAAGUAAAAGUUGAUCUACUUUGGUCAUAUAUACUUUGUUUUUUCUUUUCGUAUUUCUCAUUGAUGCUUCGAGUCUGGAUGAGACGCUCUAUUUUUUUUUUUUUUUUUUUUUUUUUUAAAUAUCGAGUUGCAGAUAUUAGCUUUCGACGCGUACACAACGCAGGCGAAAAUUGGAUAAUGCAUAUAUAUAUAUACGUAUAAUUGGUGUAUAUAGAUACGUUAUCCUGGCCUGCGUUAUGAGGCAGAGACAGGUGGGCAGAGACAGGCGGACAAGCAAACGGAAAACGUUUUUCUCACGGAUCGACAAUAAAGACACGUUGCGUAAUAAUAACACUAACACAUAGAUCGGUAUUUCUCGGUACGAAUGAGUAUUAUAUCUUUAUCGAUCUCUAGAUAACUAGGCUUGUCGCUUGUUGUUGCUGUUGUUGUUCUUGAUGUUGUUAUCGAUCAUGACGAUGUUGUUGUUGUAGUUGUAGUUGUUGUUGUUCCUGUUGCUCUGUGACUGUCGUCGCCGUUGUUGUAGGUUUUAUUUAUUUAUUUAUUUAUAUUAUUCAUUUGUCGGAUCUUCUCUUCCGGGUUUUAAUCGAGAUUGAUUUCGUUACGAGCGCGCGACGGUUCGCGCCGGAUUUCGAUUCUUUUCUCUAAGAAGAUUUAAUAUAUAUAUAUAUAUAUGUAUAUAUGAAAUAUAUAUAUAUAUAUAUAUUUUUUUUAACUUUUGUUUGUUUGUACUCUUAUAUUUUGUUGUUGUUGUUCUGUUUCGCUAGCGCGUGACGAGUUGAAACCGCUAAUUUUACUAUUAUUUUUUUUUAACUGGGAGGAGAGAACCUCGCGCUCUCUUCUAUCGUCGAUCGUUCAAACUCUUUGUCUUUCGUACCAACGAACGAGAAGAGCCACCGACGAUUCGCACGACGACGAGAACCGAGUUGCAGAAAGUGGGUAGAAGAAGAAGACAGAAAGAGAGUGCUACUCGAAGAGUCUAUGAGUCUGAAUUAGUCCAAAGAACGUAAAGAGGAGGUUCCGCGGCGCAGUGUACGGUAAAGUAUCGCUGAAUACAGAAAAAACGGUACAAUAUACAGUUUCGAUGGAGAGAGAGAGAGAGAGAGAGAGGUAAAGUAUGCGCAAGUCAAUGAAAAAAAAAAAAAAAAAGAAAAAGAAAAAGAAAAGUAUAUAAAAGAUAAAUGGAAAUGAAUCUCGGUCAAUUUGAGUCGCGAGAGCAGAAUUGUAGAACUUGCAAAAUGGAAUCGUUAAAAUCUUCGUGUCGAGGAGAGACUCCUCGCAGAGAUCUCGGGACUCAAACUAACUCGGAGAGAAAGAGAGAAUACCUAAAUAAAUGCAAAGUAGAACACACGCACACAUAAGUGGAGGAGGGAAAGCAUGAACAGGAGAGGAGAGCAUGAACAGAGCGGCGAAUGACCGUACGAGAGAACGAAGAAACGGAGAGCUUUUUUUUUUCGACUGGGCAAAUACCGUGGAAUGAACCCGCUCUCGCAAUCGUUGUUCCAGCAAACGAUACUUAUCUUUGCUACCUCGCGAUCGAGACGACCUACCUCGCGAAGAGGCCUCCAAAGCUCUUUGGAGGCUCGCCGUGUUCUCGUUCCAUGCAAACGAACAUUCUAAUCCCAACGAAUUUAAAAGGCAAAAAGGAAAUAUACAAUUCGGUACGGAGAAGAGGAAGAGAAAGGCUGAAAAAAUUCGAAAGAUUGCAAGAGGGAAUAUAUAUAUAUAUACAGGAGAGUACCACCGCCAUUGUCGAGACUGUACAUCAUCGCGAAGCCAAUUACCGAGGUUUUCUCUAGAACGUGCUGUUCGUUCGUCCGAACCGAGGUCUUUGCUCCUUUCUUCGUUCGCUCUUUUAAAGAGAAGCGUGCGCAUCCGUCCGCAUUGGGAAAUGUGCAUGAGAUAUCCAAGGGAGAAAGAAAUCGAAACAAAGGGCCGGUUCAACGAGUAUUUACCGCUCGGCUCGACUUAUACCCAUGUUGGACUGUUUUCGAGCUAGGACGAGCUAAAUUUUGUUGGUACAAUUAAUGUUAGUUUCGAUGCACGAUUAUUUAUUUAACGAAUAGCGCCUUCUUUCACUCGAGGAACUUUAAUACUUUCACUAUCGACCCAUUAUCGUUGCUUGAAACUUUGCUAGAAACUUACACAAAGCUUCGAGUAUACGUAUAAAUUGAAUAAUAUUCGAGAUUCAGCGCUGGAGCUACCUAGACGAUUCAGAUUGCAAAAUGCAUUAUACAUCCCACAAACUAUUAUAUAAAUUUAGACAGAAAAUUUCUCGAGUGAAGAGAGCAUUACACAUUCCCCAAACUAUUAUACGUAUAAACGUCCUAUAACCGAAUCUGUUGAACCCUUACGGUACAGUUCCUUCAAUUCCCCUAAACAACGCGCAAAGACUCAUUCUAUAUUCAAUCAACCCUUCGAAUACUAUCGACUGUGUCGAGUAAAUACUCCAUCGAAUACCGUGCAACAAAAAAUAGUGUUCGAAUGUUCGAGAUAAAACGAGAUAAAAAAAAAACGUAGGAUGAAACGUGAAGAAUAUACACGAUGCAUUGGCGAGUCUUUGAAGAGCGAUGCAGCUCGUCCCCGUGUCGCGAUCGGUUAUCAAGCGCGAAUCUUGAAAACCUUCUGAUUCAAUCGUGGACCAGCUUCCUCUCUCUUCGAGUACGGAUCCCUUGUACGCGGGGGUGUGUUUCUGUGAGUGAGUGAGUGGAAUGUUCUGUGCACAGAGAGAUCGCGUUUGAGAAUGAUAGGCGGAAACGUGACAGCACGAUGCAGCACUGGAGAGGAGAAGAAUGAACAGUGUUCAGGCAAACACACACAGGCAGCCAGGCAGCCAAGGCAGGCAAGCUGUGGAGUUCUCGAGUAAAACCAUCGAUCUCACAAAUCUUUAUUAAAAUCAGUUUCAUAUACUAGAAACACCCGGAGGAAACCGGUAUUUAUUCGCACGAAGAAAUUAGGUGCACCAACACCUCGCGUAUCUUGAAAUCGACCAAACUAUACGCGUACGUACACGCCUUAAUCGGCCUGCUAAUUAAACUUCGCCUCGAGAACCCCAUCGGCGAAUAGGCGGCAAACUUCCCCCGAUAAAAAGUCCACCAAUGACGACGUAAACUCGUCCUUUUCGUGUCGACAAACUCGAGACUCGCGAAAGUUGCUAUCGUGAAUCUAGACACGCGAUAUAUUUUAUCGUACUUGUCGUCGAUGCAGAUUUUACGUUCGGAGAAAAUUAUGCGAGCAAGCAAACGAUCAAGCGGCGUUUGUUUUCGCGUCAAGCAAGGCGGACACACACCGUACACGUGGAAAACACGUACAUACACAGUCAGCAACACGGACAAUAAUAUCGAGGAAUGCCUGGUUCAGCCAGCAACACGAAAUAUAAAUACAAUGGGUAGCAGCGACAGAGGUACGGCGGCCAUCGAUGCCGCGCGAGCUUAGUUCUCUCGGUUCUUUUUGCGCUCCUUGGUAUAGAGAAACGAUAUCUCGCAGAUACCGUUGGUCGUGUACUGUUCAUUUACCUGUCUCGGUCAGCCUCUAACGGUGAUCGAGCUCUAACGGCUCGACAGACUAUCGAGGGGGUGAAAAUCGUGGCGUUCUUACCUAAACUUUCUGGCUCGAGACACGAGGCCCUUUCUCCUCGGUUCGAUCGAUCAAUUCGACACCAAUUACUUUUCAUAUACAACAUUUCCUUUGAAAGACGAGUUUGAGAAUGAUUGGUCGAGAAAGAAGUAUUCCUUUCAGGGGAUUUCCGGUACUCUUGAACGACCAAGUACAGUAAAGUCUCGUUAAACGGACAAGCUCGGGACUGAAUCUCGAGCUCGUUUAUCGUAGUAGAGCUCGUAUAUUUUCCGAUAUUUCCCGACGAGAAGAGUAUUUACAUUAUUACGUAUGUAUGUCGGCGAGUUGCAUUAACAUUGUCUCGCCGAGAUAUCCGAUCCCAGAUCAUGUUACGCAUCCAGCAGUGGGGAUGGUUUCUGUGCAUUUAAAGAGACUUUACUGUAUAUUGAUUUUUAGUUUUUACAAAUCCUCCUGAAGAGAAAGGGCGAUAAAUUUGUCUCGUGGUAACCUUCGAAUCGAUACUGUCUGGAUAAUGUACGAUACAAUAGGAAAACGGUUGCACGUUUGCGCGGUUGAUACGGAGAAAGUAAGAACGAAGGGUAACCAAGGUCGAGGUAGUAGCCGUAAGGGGACCAUGUACGUACAGCAGAACCUCGGUAACAUCGAAAGCUACAAUACAGAAAUGGAACGUACUAUAAAAUGGAGAGUUUAAUGGUUAAUUUUGGAGGAAUUGAAAUAAAUAAAAGAUACCAAUGCAGGUUCUCGAGAGCUAAAGAAGCUUCUAAAGAAGGCACGGUUUUAACUAGAUCCGUUUCCUUCGAUCUUCGUGAAAGGAAUGCCUCGAUUUUUGAGGUAACGUGGACAAUUGUUCACAAUUUGUUGAAUCGAGAAAUAAAGUACCGGAUUAACGAGGUUUCGCUGUACAUACCAAAGAAACGUUAGAUUCUAACGUGUACAUUCACUGACCAUUAACUCUCUAUAACCCCACGUGACUCUACACCUCUGAUCUCUGAUUUGAUGCACAAUUUUUCAAUCUCUCCUAUCUAUAUUCUCCAGAAGCUGAACGUAAUUCGGGUUAUAGAGGGUUAACCGAAUAUCCUCCGCGAUUCCUUCGUUUCGAGUAGAAAAACUGAGAAGCGUGAAACCAGAAACCGAAAACAAAACAGAGCGGAAGGGCAGGGAUCGAGGGAAAGAGAAAAGAGAUAACAGAGAGAACGAGAUAAAACCUCGGACGUUUACCCCUCGCCGAGACUUGUUCUUAACGACCGCAUCGAAAUGUUCACGUAAAAAAACAUCGACGCACACCAUUAUUCCACCCGUGAUAUCGUGUCAACGGCGAUCGAUAAAACGGCAUAGCGCGAUCAGUCGUCGAUCUUCCUUGGUUUUCUUCGAAAUCGUAUUCGCGUCAAGAGCGUUCUCGCUUUUUCGUAGCGUCCAUUCCAAAGACCCCGUGUUGGUGGGAUUUCUCGCACCGUUGCUGAAAAAAAAUAUCCUCCACCACUGUUACCAUUAAGAGUGUUUUUUUUUUUUAUAUCUGUUUUUUUUUUUGUUCCAUAAUUGCGGCAAUUGCCCCCCGUUCCAAAAUUCAUUCGUUCCGUUCUCCAUUUACAUAGAGUACACAAUCGACUGACUGACAUCGACGGCAGUUCACGUACACAUGUAUAUUAUACAUAUACAUAUACAUAUAGCCUGUGUAUACAUACAUAUAUAUAUGUAUAUAUAUACAUAAUACACAUACAGGCAGCUUCUUUAUACGGCGUCCCACGUGUUAGAGUAUGUACGUACACUGAAUAAGUAACAGUCGUCGACGUUUCCGGUGCUCGAAAUACGAAUAUGUGUGCUAAUUAGUGCAGCCACAGAUACAAGUAGCAAAAGAAACUGGAACGGAGCGACGCAAUGACCUUUUAACCCUGUCGCGCUCUCGGAUUUCAUUUAAAUUCAACGCGAGCACACCGUUGGGGGGGUUUUCCCUCGAGUGUUUGCCGAACAGAGUUCCCCAGAAACGGUUGGUCCGCGCGCGGAGACGGCGAUUCGGAUGGUAAAAUGGAGCAAGAGGUGCUCGAAAUGCGUAUUCAACGAAAUAAACAGCAUUAAUAAAAAAAAAAAAAAGAAAGAAAGAAAGAAAA
Hylaeus anthracinus is the source of this 6044-nucleotide long non-coding RNA. RefSeq lists it as uncharacterized. NCBI's taxonomy places the organism in Eukaryota, Metazoa, Arthropoda, Insecta, Hymenoptera, Colletidae. The transcript has 2 exons. The record is from RefSeq and is a predicted model, not a curated record.